AGUGAACGCUGGCGGUAGGCCUAACACAUGCAAGUCGAACGGCAGCACAGGAGAGCUUGCUCUCUGGGUGGCGAGUGGCGGACGGGUGAGGAAUACAUCGGAAUCUACUUUUUCGUGGGGGAUAACGUAGGGAAACUUACGCUAAUACCGCAUACGACCUACGGGUGAAAGCAGGGGACCUUCGGGCCUUGCGCGAUUGAAUGAGCCGAUGUCGGAUUAGCUAGUUGGCCGGGUAAAGGCCCACCAAAGCGACGAUCGGUAGGUGGUCUGAGAGGGUAAUCAGCCACACUGGAACGGAGACACGGUCCAGACUCCUACGGGAGGCAGCAGUGGGGAAUAUUGGACAAUGGGCGCAAGCCUGAUCCAGCCAUACCGCGUGGGUGAAGAAGGCCUUCGGGUUGUAAAGCCCUUUUGUUGGGAAAGAAAUCCAGCUGGCUAAUACCCGGUUGGGAUGACGGUACCCAAAGAAUAAGCACCGGCUAACUUCGUGCCAGCCGCCGCGGUAA
RNAcentral lists this ribosomal RNA (506 nucleotides) under uncultured bacterium. RNAcentral's name for it is "partial 16S ribosomal RNA". It matches the Rfam family "Bacterial small subunit ribosomal RNA", at positions 29 to 523 of the family's 1533-position model. The record is from RNAcentral.